RNAcentral lists this ribosomal RNA (265 nucleotides) under Bacillus pumilus. RNAcentral describes it as "partial 16S ribosomal RNA". It matches the Rfam family "Bacterial small subunit ribosomal RNA", at positions 1277 to 1533 of the family's 1533-position model. Lineage: Bacteria; Bacillati; Bacillota; Bacilli; Caryophanales; Bacillaceae. The record is from RNAcentral.
UAAAUCUGUUCUCAGUUCGGAUCGCAGUCUGCAACUCGACUGCGUGAAGCUGGAAUCGCUAGUAAUCGCGGAUCAGCAUGCCGCGGUGAAUACGUUCCCGGGCCUUGUACACACCGCCCGUCACACCACGAGAGUUUGCAACACCCGAAGUCGGUGAGGUAACCUUUAUGGAGCCAGCCGCCGAAGGUGGGGCAGAUGAUUGGGGUGAAGUCGUAACAAGGUAGCCGUAUCGGAAGGUGCGGCUGGAUCACCUCCUUUCUAAGGA